This 405-nucleotide ribosomal RNA is filed under the name uncultured bacterium. RNAcentral describes it as "partial 16S ribosomal RNA". It matches the Rfam family "Bacterial small subunit ribosomal RNA", at positions 30 to 526 of the family's 1533-position model. The record is from RNAcentral.
AUUGAACGCUGGCGGCAGGCCUAACACAUGCAAGUCGAGCGAGCGGCGGACGGGUGAGUAACGCGUGAGUAACCUGCCUUAGAGAAGGGGAUAGCCUUUGGAAACGAAGAAUAAUACCAUAUACUCUAAGAUGGACUUGCGUCUGAUUAGUUAGUUGGUUGGGUAACGGCCCACCAAGACAGCGAUCAGCAGCCGGCUUGAGAGAGUGUACGGCAACAUUGGGACUGAGACGCGGCCCAGACUCUACGGGAGGCAGCAGUGGGGAAUUUUGCACAAUGGGGGAAACCCUGAUGCAGCGACGCCGCGUGAUUUAGAAGGCCUUCGGGUUGUAAAAAGCUUUUCGAUGGGAAGCAGUACCAUAGGAAUAAGGACCGGCUAAUUACGUGCCAGCAGCCGCGGUAAUAC